Molecule: ribosomal RNA, 450 nt
Filed under: uncultured Glomeromycotina
Lineage: Eukaryota; Fungi; Glomeromycota
Description: SSU rRNA
Rfam family: Eukaryotic small subunit ribosomal RNA
Source: RNAcentral
AGCAGCCGCGGUAAUUCCAGCUCCAAUAGCGUAUAUUAAAGUUGUUGCAGUUAAAAAGCUCGUAGUUGAAUUUCGGGAUCAAUACGUCGGUCGUGCUUCGGUACGUACUGGCGUCAUUGGUUUCUCCCUUCUGACGAACCAUGAUGUCAUUAACUUGGUGUCAUGGGAAAUCAGGACCGUUACUUUGAAAAAAUUAGAGUGUUUAAAGCAAGCUAACGCUUGAAUACAUUAGCAUGGAAUAAUGAAAUAGGACGCUCGAUCCUAUUUUGUUGGUUUCUAGGAUUGACGUAAUGAUUAAUAGGGAUAGUUGGGGGCAUUAGUAUUCAAUUGUCAGAGGUGAAAUUCUUGGAUUUAUUGAAGACUAACUACUGCGAAAGCAUUUGCCAAGGAUGUUUUCAUUAAUCAAGAACGAAAGUUAGGGGAUCGAAGACGAUCAGAUACCGUCGUAGU